CAGAACUCAGGGGUGCCCAGGCUUCUCUGUGCUCUCUGUUCGGUACAACAAACUGCAUUCUCUAAUGAGCAACCUCUCCUGACAGAGGAGACUGCAAUUAACGUGGGCUCUUGGGAGCUUUCAUGUUCCCAAGCAGCAGAACAUAGAUCUGUGAAAUACUGCCCAUACCAACACAGGGUCUUUACAUAUGGGAUCACUCAUAUCGCCAAAACAGACUGGAUUUCCGAGCAAGAUUUUAUCUCCAACAACCACAAUGGGCAACUCAGCGUGAAAAGCAGAGACGCAAGUCAGCCACAAAGCCAAGCCCAGAGGGAAGGAAUGGCAAAACAAAGCAUGCCAGUUAGUUCCCAUGGGAAAUGGUGCUAACAUUCCUAAACCUGAGUGUUCCAUCUGAUUUUUCAGUUAAGGGUGGUCUGUCCGCCAUCCAUAAACUGAAAGAAUGAACUUUCUGACAAAACUUGGAUGCUGUAAAGAUUUCUGGAAGGCAAUGCAGAGUGAAUCUUCAAACUAGCUGUGAAACUAACUGAAGAGGCAAAGAGCUUCACCCUAUUGCUGCUCGGAAGCUAAGGAGGCUUUUUUUUCUGCUCAAGGAACAUUCUUAAGGCUAAACAUUCUGACAUAGCAACACAUUCUGACUCCAUCCUCUGCCACGCAGUUCUUCCAAUUUUUAAUCUAGAAGAACGCUACUACGCAGGACUGAAUCUUUAAAUCCUCAUUCAUCAAAACCACUAAAGGCUUUAGUUAGGUUGCACCAGUGUGACAGAAAGACCUCAAUAUACAGCAUUCUACAGCCCCAGUGCCUGAGCCUGAAGUGAAACAGAGAGACUCAAGACUUCUGCAUGCUGCAAGCAACCAAUCUCGCUGCUAAAAUCUCAUCAUGGCAUCAGAAUAUUAAUAGGUCAGGGCUUAAGGAGAUAGUAAGGCCAAAACACAGUAUCUCCUUAAACGUGGGGAGAAGUGGUCCCUUUUCAUCAUCUCCAGAUCCCAAUGCAACUUACUACAAUGAAAGAAAGGUUCAGAGAAUUACGUACAAGCAAACUAGCUUCAUAAACCCCACUAUUUCAAAAUAGUUAAAUAAUCUGGAGUAUCAGUACUGCUGACUACCUGCUCUCUUCAAUGGUCA
This 1123-nucleotide long non-coding RNA is filed under the name Gallus gallus (chicken). RNAcentral describes it as "long non-coding RNA NONGGAT004162". Lineage: Eukaryota; Metazoa; Chordata; Aves; Galliformes; Phasianidae. The record is from RNAcentral.